AGGCUGUAUAAAAGGAGAAAAAUCUCAGCAUUACCCUUGAUAAAGGAUGGAAGAAGUUUAACCCUAUGUGGUCCUAAUAACCUUUAAAGCACAUACACAGUUAAAACAUUGUCACCUCUUCUGCAGCAUCUAAAUACUAUAUUUU
Molecule: non-coding RNA, 145 nt
Filed under: Vombatus ursinus (common wombat)
Lineage: Eukaryota; Metazoa; Chordata; Mammalia; Diprotodontia; Vombatidae
Source: RNAcentral